RNAcentral lists this ribosomal RNA (490 nucleotides) under uncultured bacterium. RNAcentral describes it as "partial 16S ribosomal RNA". It matches the Rfam family "Bacterial small subunit ribosomal RNA", at positions 30 to 507 of the family's 1533-position model. The record is from RNAcentral.
AUUGAACGCUGGCGGCAGGCCUAACACAUGCAAGUCGAACGGUAACAGGAAGAAGCUUGCUUCUUUGCUGACGAGUGGCGGACGGGUGAGUAAUGUCUGGGAAACUGCCUGAUGGAGGGGGAUAACUACUGGAAACGGUAGCUAAUACCGCAUAACGUCGCAAGACCAAAGAGGGGGACCUUCGGGCCUCUUGCCAUCGGAUGUGCCCAGAUGGGAUUAGCUAGUAGGUGGGGUAACGGCUCACCUAGUCGCCGAUCCCUAGCUGGUCUGAGAGGAUGACCAGCCACACUGGAACUGAGACACGGUCCAGACUCCUACGGGAGGCAGCAGUGGGGAAUAUUGCACAAUGGGCGCAAGCCUGAUGCAGCCAUGCCGCGUGUAUGAAGAAGGCCUUCGGGUUGUAAAGUACUUUCAGCGGGGAGGAAGGGAGUAAAGUUAAUACCUUUGCUCAUUGACGUUACCCGCAGAAGAAGCACCGGCUAACUCCGUG